RNAcentral lists this unclassified non-coding RNA (236 nucleotides) under plant metagenome. RNAcentral describes it as "partial contains small subunit ribosomal RNA, internal transcribed spacer 1, and 5.8S ribosomal RNA". The record is from RNAcentral.
UUUCCGUAGGUGAACCUGCGGAAGGAUCAUUACUGAGUGAGGGCCCCUCGGGGUCCAACCUCCCACCCGUGUUUAACGAACCUUGUUGCUUCGGCGGGCCCGCCUCACGGCCGCCGGGGGGCAUCUGCCCCCGGGCCCGCGCCCGCCGAAGCCACCUGUGAACGCUGUCUGAAGUAUGCAGUCUGAGACAAUUAUUAAAUUAAUUAAAACUUUCAACAACGGAUCUCUUGGCUCAC